Molecule: ribosomal RNA, 480 nt
Filed under: uncultured organism
Description: bacterial SSU rRNA
Rfam family: Bacterial small subunit ribosomal RNA
Source: RNAcentral
AAUGAACGUUGGCGGCGUGGAUUAGGCAUGCAAGUCGAACGAGAACCCCGCAAGGGGUGAAAGUGGCAAACGGCGUAGUAAGGCGUAGGUGACGUACCUCCCGAUUCAGGAUAGCUACGGGAAACUGUAGGUAAUACUGGAUAACCCCUCCGAGAUUGAAAAUCGGAGUGCAAAGGUGUGAUUCCGUCAGGAGAGCGGCUUACGUGGUAUUAGCUAGUUGGUGAGGUAAUGGCUCACCAAGGCUUCGAUGCCUAGGGGGUGUUAGCGCAUGACCCCCACGACUGGGACUGAGAUACUGCCCAGACACCUACGGGUGGCUGCAGUCGAGAAUCUUCGGCAAUGGGCGCAAGCCUGACCGAGCGACGCCGCGUGUGGGAUGAAGGCCCUUGGGUUGUAAACCACUGUCAGAGGGGAUGAAAUGCGGGUGGGUUCUCCCAUCCGUUUGACAUAGCCUCAGAGGAAGCACGGGCUAAGUUCGUG